Chlorocebus sabaeus (green monkey) is the source of this 6022-nucleotide non-coding RNA. The record is from RefSeq and is a predicted model, not a curated record. Lineage: Eukaryota; Metazoa; Chordata; Mammalia; Primates; Cercopithecidae.
AUCACGUGGGCGCCUAACUUUGUUCACUUGACAGUAAGUAGGAGGGCUUUCGGAAACAGGAAAACGAGUCAGGGGUCGGAAUAAAUUUUAGUAUAUUUUGUGGGCAAUUCCCAGAAAUUAAUGGCUAUGAGUUCUUUUUUGAUCAACUCAAACUAUGUCGACCCCAAGUUCCCUCCAUGCGAGGAAUAUUCACAGAGCGAUUACCUACCCAGCGACCACUCGCCCGGGUACUACGCCGGCGGCCAGAGGCGAGAGAGCAGCUUCCAGCCGGAGGCGGGCUUCGGGCGGCGCGCGGCGUGCACCGUGCAGCGCUAUGCGGCCUGCCGGGACCCUGGGCCCCCGCCGCCUCCGCCACCACCCCCGCCGCCCCCGCCACCGCCCGGGCUGUCCCCUCGGGCUCCUGCGCCGCCACCCGCCGGGGCCCUCCUCCCGGAGCCCGGCCAGCGCUGCGAGGCGGUCAGCAGCAGCCCCCCGCCGCCUCCCUGCGCCCAGAACCCCCUGCACCCCAGCCCGUCCCACUCCGCGUGCAAAGAGCCAGUCGUCUACCCCUGGAUGCGCAAAGUUCACGUGAGCACGGUAAACCCCAAUUACGCCGGCGGGGAGCCCAAGCGCUCUCGGACCGCCUACACUCGCCAGCAGGUCUUGGAGCUGGAGAAGGAAUUUCACUACAACCGCUACCUGACACGGCGCCGGAGGGUGGAGAUCGCCCACGCGCUCUGCCUCUCCGAGCGCCAGAUCAAGAUCUGGUUCCAGAACCGGCGCAUGAAGUGGAAAAAAGACCACAAGUUGCCCAACACCAAGAUCCGCUCGGGUGGUGCGGCAGGCUCAGCCGGAGGGACCCCUGGCCGGCCCAAUGGAGGACCCCCCGCGCUCUAGUGCCCCCGCACGCGGGAGCCACGAACCUCGGGGUGGGGGUGGGCAGUGAGUGCAGGGGAUGGGGUGGGGGGACAGGAGGGGGCUCUGGGGCCUGGGCCCCGGAAAAAUCUAUCUGCCCUCCCCCACACUUUAUAUGCGAAUAAACGCAGAAGAGGGGGAGGGGAAGCUUUAUUUAUAGAAAUGACAAUAGAGGGCCACGGGGAGGCCCCCCCAGAAGCAAGAUUCAAAUCUCUUGCUUUCUUCCUUAAAAAGAAAAAAAAAAAAAAAAAAAAAAAGAAAAAAAAAAAGAAAAAGAAGAAGGAAGAAAGAAAAAAACAGAAAGAGAAAUAGGAGGAGGCUGCAGCUCCUCAGCUCCUCGUUUUCAGCUUUGGCGAAGAUGGAUCCACGUUUCAUCUUUAAUCACGCCAGGCCCAGGCCCAUCUGUCUUGUUUACUCUGCCGAGGAGAGGACGGGCCUCGGUGGCGACCAUUACCUCGACACCCGCUAACAAAUGAGGCCCGGCUCGGCCGCCUCCGCCUCUGCUGCUGCCGUUGCUGGAAGACAGCCUGGAUUUCCUUUCUUUGUCCCCCACUCCCGAUACUCAGCGAAAGCACCCUCUGACUGCCAGAUAGUGCAGUGUUUUGGCCACGCAAAUCUCCUCAGACCGGCUGUUGGGGGAAAAAAGUGUUAGCCGUCUCUCCCGGAUCUGCAAGGGAGAAAAAAUUUGGAAUCAUAAAGUUGAAAACUUUUUUCUCUCAGUUUGGAAGAAGCCCUUCGUCAUGAAUGGGAUCGGCGGAGUUCGGGCGAGAGGAGGUGAGAGGCGCAAAGGUAACAAAGCCCUGGCCCAGGCUGGCGUGUUUUGAUCGUUUUAUGAGCUCUUUUCACAAGUGAAAGAAGAAACACUCUCUCGCCUCCUCCUUUUUCUUUUUUAACUCUCUUGGCUGGGUUUUUACGGUGGAUGCUUGGGCAGGUUUUCUCCCUUUUAUGAUGACUGAUGCUUGGGUCAGAGGGAGAGAGAGAGGGGCCUCGACACCUGGAGAGUGUUUGAAUUGGUUGGGACUGAGGUGUCAGGACCCAUGAAAAACCCCAGAGAAGAAGGUUGUUCUGUGAGGCAGUUCAGAGGCGCUUUUCUGGUUUUGGAAAAUGCAGGCAGGCACAGCGAGCUCCAGCAUGUGUGCAUGGGUGUGUCUAGUGAGGUCCACAUGUGGUCGGUGUGUUCCUGUGACUCUGCUUGUCUACACUGGGGACUGGUGUCCCCUAUGCCUAUCUGCUUAUCUGUCUCUCUGUUUACCGGUGCAAUGCUGUCACUGCUGCCUCCUGGAAAAAUCAAAUCCAGUGCUUGAAUGGAAUGUUCCAGCUUUGGAGCGGGUAUAAAUGGAUAUAUGUUCUUGUUUUUCUUCUUGUGUCUAGCUUGGGAUUCUAGACAAAUACGUGCUACUCUCUGGAGCAGGAAACUGCUCAGUUCACAGGCGAGGUGCACUGAUGCAGAAAUAUUUCUCUUCUGCUCUGUCCCCCCAGCCUUCUUCCUGAAGGAGCAAUGUUGGUUUGAUUUCCCUUUGCUCUCCUAAUUUGAGGUCUCUGUUCUCUCCUCUGCAGCCCUGUUUCUUAGGCUGAGGGAGUCAGUGGGCUCUGCAGCCGACCUGAAUGUGUUGGCCCUUUUUCCCUGAGGCCUCACUUAGGGUUUGGAGGCGGGAGGCUGGCAGGAGAGAGAGUUCAUGGAGAGGCCACGUUUUCUAGGUGAUUAGCUCAGUAUUAGAACCACAAAAUGACCUCGGAAGCCCCUUGACCUCGCUGAGACUGGACAUUGUGUUGGCUUUUGCCUCCUGCCCAGGAGGGAGAGUCACACCUCUGCAGGGAGAGGUCCUUGGCCCAUCAUAUGUCCCAUCUUCUCCAACCCCCUCUAGGCCCCAAACCCAUCUUUGCUAUUUUGAAACUUUUGGAUUAUUUUUCUCUUACUGUCCACUGGGGGAGAAGACUUAAAGAUUUUUAGCCCAAGGGUCCAGUCGGGGUAGGAAAAUAGGGUGCUUAUCUGUCUCUCUGUACACAGCACCUUCAGCAGUCCAGACUGCAGCCAUCCUCCCGGCACCACUCCCAGGUCCAGUUCAUCUCUUUACUGUUUCACUUGGAGGGAACUGAGGGAAGAAAGACAAAGGGAGAAGAUAUGAGAGGUUGGAGGGGCCUAAUCCACAAGGCUUCAGAGGGCCAGAGGAAUAAACUCCUGAGCUGCGAAGAGAAAGGGCUUCUGCCAUGAACAUUGCUUCAGAGGCUGUCAUCUCUCUGAGGGCUGACAUCCAAAUCCACAGCCUGUCAACCCAUUUUCUGAAGUUCCUUUGUUUAGGAAGCUAUUUCUACAAUCACCUUUACCUCUUUACCCUAAUUCUCAAUCUCCCCAAUAACCAAAAAAAAGCCCUUGGAGUGCCUCACCCACCAGAGGAACAAGGGAAAUGGGAGGAGGAUCAGUGUAGACUAUUCUGAGUACUUUCCAGGGCCUGCUGUCCCAGCUUAGCCAAAGUUUCCAGAAACUUUUAAGAAAUAGGUGGAGGAUUUGCCAAACAGUGAGCCCUGAACAUAGAGCCUUUCCAAAAACUGUAUUCUGUUUGCUGUAUCUUAAAAAUCCAUACCAGUAGCCACCCUCUUAGGGAGAGACAGAGACAAAGAGAAAGAGAGACAGACACAGACAGACGCUGGCUGGGAGGACGAAAUGUUCCCCUUCAGUUAAGACUAGGAGAGACAGAAACUUGCUGGGAUAUGUGGGUUGUUGGUUUGCAUUUUGUAAAUGGUUUCUUGAAAUUUGGGGACUCUAUUUCAGGCAAUAAAUAGCUGGAGUGGUUGAUAGUCUCUCCUUUAUCCCUGGGUGGCAUAAGUAGAGGGGCUGGAGGCCUCAGGAAGGAAAGAGGAUGAGCACAAAGCAAGCUAGCCUGCUCCUGGACUAAAAAUAUUUGGGGCUCAGGGAGAUGUGCAUUCAUUACCUAUAAGGGCAGACAGCCAGUUGUGGGCCCUCUAUAGGCUCAAGGGACAAAGACCUAGUCUCCAGGGACUUUACAAACUGCUUUCUGCAGUGUGAGGAUUAGGGCCCAUCAAAGGGAAAACGAGAGAGACCAUAGUCAGAGAAGGCUGGGGUUCACGAAGGAAAACUGCCAGAUCUCCCAUUUCCUUCACUCCAGACAAUCCUGGUGCCACUCCAGUUCUUCCAACCUUUUGAUUUCUUUCCCUCUUUCUCCCCAGUUCCCUUGGCCCUCCCCAUUCUCUCUCCUACUUCCACCCGCUUGUCCUGGGCAGAGGGGGUUGCCCAGUCCUGCCAGAGCCCUCGGAGGCGGCCCCAGCGCUGGUGGUGGGUCUCCCUGGGAAGUGGCGGCUGGGGAGGGGGUCUGGUUGGAAAACGGAGUUGGGAAGUUUCCCAGCGUGAGUUGAGCGCUGACGGAUUUGUGAUCAGCCAUAAAACUGGCGCGUUCAGAUUCGUAAAUCAAUCUCGCCUUUCUCACAGUGUAAACGUUCACUUUAUCGGCAGCAAGAAAGUGCUCGGCUCGCGAUCAGGCGCUUGUUUAUUUGAACAUGGACAUUCCCAGGAUCCAAAAAGAGUGUGGUCAUUUUAACAGAACCUGCCGGCAUGCCUUCGUGUCAUUUUGCUGUUCUUUUUCUUGUCCUUAAAAGUUAUUUCUCCGUUUUAGAGAUUGCUCUCUUCUCACAUCCAGCAUUUCUCUCUCCUCUCUCUCUCUGCUAUUUUUAUUUUAGACUUUAGCAGAGUGUUUUUCUUUGGAGGACCAUUUUUAAUGGAUUUGUGGCCAGAACCUUUCAGGGAGUUGCCCUCGCUGGAGCCGGGAGCAGGGCCCACAUCGGGAUCAGGCUGAAUUCAAUACCAGUCUGUGUUUUGUAUCUGGACAAUCAAAGCUGACCACCUCCCCUACAGAGUCCAGGCCUGGCCGGCGCCCCCACCCCAUGAGGCCAGAGCAGAUUCCAGUGCUUUUGGCUGGGGCAGAAGCUGUGCAGCUGCCACUGUAGCUGGAACCUCCGAGGCUGAGACCGGGGUGGCUGUUUCUUUGGGGUUUGUUAAGACAACCGGGUCCUCAACCUUCUCUCCACUGAGUUGCUUUUGGUUUAGACCCCUUCAAACAAGCUGGGGGAGGCCCCUCAGAUCCCUGCUCCCCUACCCUAAAGCUCAUUCUUCCUGGAUUCCCCGCCUGCCCUGGAGGCUGUGGUCCUGGCUGCCUCGAGAGCUGCUGAGGACAGAUAAGGCUGCGGCUUCUUCAGGAAUGUCUUUUCUGCUUCCCUUUGCAUCCCCACCCCCACCCCAUGCCCCGGCCGAGAACUCUGAUUCUUGUUGCACGUAACUGGUCAAGUUUGGGCGGGGGAUUGUUUUUGUUUUAUUUUGUUUAUAUUUGAGGUGAAGGGGUCUGUGUGUCUCUCUCUUUAGGCCUAGGGAAUAGAUAGUCCCUGAUAUUUAACCCUUUAACAGGCACAGCCGUUCCCCAUCUUUUUCCCAUUGAUCAGCCUCCAUUGUUUGUUGAUUGGAAGCUCGGGGUGCUAACACCUGGGAAAUAGGGAUCCUGGGGCUGCCAGGCUGACUUCAAAGCUUUUCGUCUCUUUUCCCUCCUCUCCUGUUCAAAUCUCCAGUUGUCUUCACUGGUGGGUUUGGGAAGUGGGGCGGGGGGGAAUGAGACAGGGUGUGACAUAGGUAGGGAGAGGCUGACAGUCCGAUUCUUUUGUGUAGAAACCUUAGUCCCAGUCUUUGUCUCUAGAAUCUAUUUUCAAACGGUCAGUCACAUUUGGUUUCCUAUAGUAGUAACAACACAACAGGGAAAAAAAAGUCCCCCUUGCGGUUAUUCUCAACUCUAAAAGCUCCAGAGUAAUCUCUUCACCCUGUCCCUUUUUUGCCUCUUCAAAAGGUACCAGAAAAGAUCAAAAUGAGAAUAAAGCCAGAAGUCCCAUUCUUUAUCCACUUAUACCACGGACUUAUGAAGUGUUUAUUUUCAAAGUGGCUCCUUCAGAAAUUUUGUCCAUUAUUUAGGAAGUCCCACUCAAAUAAAUACCCCCAGGAGUGGGGGAGAAAAUGCAGCUGGGGAAGAAAUCUUAAUCCUAAAGGAUGCAGAGAGAAGAACUGGAAGCUGAGAAAUCCAGGGGCUUGGAGAAGGGCUCUGUGCCCACCCCACCCCCACCCCCCAGACGCCCC